Molecule: ribosomal RNA, 502 nt
Filed under: uncultured Sphingobacteriales bacterium
Lineage: Bacteria; Pseudomonadati; Bacteroidota; Sphingobacteriia; Sphingobacteriales
Description: bacterial SSU rRNA
Rfam family: Bacterial small subunit ribosomal RNA
Source: RNAcentral
CGCCUUGCCAGCCCGCUCAGAACUCAAAGGAAUUGACGGGGGCCCGCACAAGCGGUGGAGCAUGUGGUUUAAUUCGAUGAUACGCGAGGAACCUUACCUGGGCUCAAAUGUAUGUUGACGUAUUCUGAAAGGGAUACUUCUUCGGACAAUAUACAAGGUGCUGCAUGGUUGUCGUCAGCUCGUGCCGUGAGGUGUCGGGUUAAGUCCCAUAACGAGCGCAACCCCUAUCAUUAGUUGCCAUCAGGUCAAGCUGGGGACUCUAAUGAAACUGCCUACGCAAGUAGUGAGGAAGGUGGGGAUGACGUCAAAUCAGCACGGCCCUUACGGCCUGGGCUACACACGUGUUACAAUGGUCGGUACAAAGGGUUGCCAAGCCGCGAGGUGGAGCUAAUCCCAUAAAACCGAUCGUAGUCCGGAUCGCAGUCUGCAACUCGACUGCGUGAAGUCGGAAUCGCUAGUAAUCGUGAAUCAGAAUGUCACGGUGAAUACGUUCCCGGGCCUU